RNAcentral lists this long non-coding RNA (3152 nucleotides) under Solanum tuberosum (potato). Its description in RNAcentral is "long non-coding RNA (STUB_LNC002151)". Lineage: Eukaryota; Viridiplantae; Streptophyta; Magnoliopsida; Solanales; Solanaceae. The record is from RNAcentral.
CAACAGUUAACUCAGAAAAAAAGCGCAUUUCAAUUGUCAGCCUUCAUAGUCUAACUUUAGGUAAAAAAGUUAGACCUGCAUCAGCUCUUGUUAACGAACAAAAUAUCUUGUCCUACAAAGAAGGAGGCUUCAGUGAUUUCCUUGACUUCAUUUCGGGAGAAGAUAUUGUGGAAGCAAAGUACAUAGACACAUUAAAAAUAAAUACAUGAUGAUUAUAGUACAUGGACAACAGAGCAGGCAAUACUGGAAUUCUCAUUUUUACACUCUUCAAACUCCAUUUUGUAUGAUCCGUGUUUUACAGUAGCCAGAUUUUCUAUGUACUUUGUUCGAAUUUUGCUGGUGAGAUUUUUUUAUUUUUGCUUUUUAUUUUAUUUUGUUGAGAAAAAAAUAAGAGCUCUUCCUUCAUACUAGGAGGCCUUGCUGUAAAAAAAAAAAAUUGAACAAACUUACCAGCCAUUUCAUCUUAACCAAGGUUUCCCUCAAGGCCACUUAUUUUGUUGCACCACCAACAAAAUAAAAAUGCAUCUUCAGGAUCCGAUGAUUUAUCUCACUUAGCUAACAUCACAACUUGGCAGAUAGAAGCCAGCAACUGGAAAGAAGUUCUAACAUUCACCACAUCAAGUCCAAUUUAAGCCAAAUGUUGGUCAUACUACAAGUUUAGAACUCGAGCCACAUUCAUCACUGGUAGACGCACCUAUUGGGAAGAUGUUCUCUCACACAAGGUAAAUUUUUAAUGGUAAAUAGACACAAGAAUUAGUUAUGACCUUAAACUAAUUAGACCAGCAAAGAACAUUAUAUUGAUUUACAGCCACAACCAUAUACAGCCAAAAUCACCUUCCAACAAUACAUUCUGCACAUAUAACACAGGAAUAGCCAGUAUAACAACUGCUCUGACAUUAAUAUUAGUAUCAUUAUUUUGUGUGUGUUCUUUUAGGUUUUCUGUGUCAGAAGUUUCCUUUGUAAGCUAACAGGGAAGCAUGGCUUCAAAACUCAAGUUCCAUGACCCUGGUAAUGCUCACGUUUGAUCUCGCUAAUGUUCAGACACCCAAACUGUUUUACCUCCAAUACUAUUUACUCAUUUCAAACCUUCUCCAAACAAUCUUGUUAUUAUCGCUAGGGAUGGCAAUAGGGCAGGGCAUAUUCGGGGUGGGGCAGGGAGUGUUGUGCGGGACAGGGCAGGGCGGGACAAAAUAUAUUUUCGAAAAAUUAUAAUGAAGGCAGGGAAAGUGGUAGGGCAAGGGGUUUCAGAUGCAAAUUGAAAAUUUCUCAACCUUAUUUCAGUGUCGACAAUGGGAUUGUUGUUGUCAACGUACUAAUGAAAUAUCAAUUGUUGGGUGCUGGCAACGUUUAAAAUAAGAUUUCAUACUAAAGGAAUAUCAAUAACUUCUUUUUUAUUUAAAUAAGAUCAAUAUGGGACAACUGUUUUACUAUUACUUGAAAUCAAAUUAUUUCAAUUACAAAAAUAUUGAAAUAAAAAUAUUGUAAAUUUUCCCUGCUACUAAUUCCAAAAGUAAGCACUCGCAAAAGCCAAAACAACAUAGAAACUAAGUUUGUGUUGUAUCAUUUUAUACUCCCUCCGUUCACUUUUACUUGUCCACUAUUCCUAAGAAUAAAUUUUACUUUUAACAUAUCAAGAAAAGAUAAUUAUUUUUUUCUAUGUUUUACCCUUAGCAUUAAUUACUUAUUUGCCGAAUCAUUUUUCAAGACCUAAUACUAAACAUCAAUUAAUAAGGGUAUUAUAGUAAGAUACUCAUAUAAAUAAUUGUUUCUUAAGGGGUUUGGCGUGUAAAUCCAAAGUGGAGAAGUAAAAGUGAACGGGAGGAGUAUUUGGAAGACCAAAAAGACAAAAAGUAUAUCUCUCUCGCUCAUACUUAAUACAGUAGUGACGCAUUAGUUCGGGUAAUGGAGACAGCAGCAUAGGAGGGGUUUUCAGGAACUCUGAUGGUCAUUGGAUACUAGGCUAUUGUAUGCAUAUUCCCAAUACUACAAUCACUGAAGCUGAACUAAAGGGUCCAGACUAUGCUUAUAUGCAUAUGAAUCUACAUCCACUUCAAGUGGAAAUUGACGCACAAGAGGUGAUCACCUUGCUCUCAUCAUCCAAGGCAAAAUAUGCUAAUAUUUUGUCUGACUGCAGGUCCGUACUCCGACAGUUACAUGAUCCAGUCGUCACUCACAUAUACAGGGAGCAGCACAAGGCAGCAGAUAGUGUAGCUAAAUAUGGAGCAAACAAAACAUUGACUGCUAUGACACUUUUUGAUAGCCCACCUCUUUUUGCUGAAUCAAUGGUUGAAGCAGAUAGACUAGGCAUCACCUUUUGUCGACGUACAACUUUUUGUAACUUACCAACUGAUAGUUUAACUAGUGAGGCAUGUAGUUCAUCUAACCCUACAAUGCCCUGUCCUGUCCUGCCCCGAGCCUCCCUAUUGAUAUUCCUAGUUAUCGCAAACCAAGGAAGGCAAAUGCAUCUCAAUUUCUAUAAUUAAGUUGGUUAUUUUACAUAGAAUUGAUUUCUUAUUGCACUAAAUGGCUGCAAAGUGCAAUCUGUCACCUCUGUUAAUCAGAUAACUUGGGAGACUUACUAUGUUAAUUAUCUCCAUGCAUCAUCAGAAUCAGAAUUAGUAGUAGCAUUCAUUUAAAGACUAUUAAACAAAAUUAUCCCAACUUAUUUCUAAUUCCUUCAGCAAUUGAAGCCAUAUUUUUAGAAAUUCAGCUUAUGGCGCAAUGCUAAGUAUUUAACGACUAUUACACAAAAUCAUCCCAACUUAUUCAGUAACUAUUACAUAAUUUAGUUACUAAACCAAAAUCAGCGACUUGAAGUUACUCGAUUCCUCUCAUGAUGGUCAAAACUUGCGCAAAAUAUAUGAAUAUCAUCAAAUAAAUUGUAGUUUUACAUGAUUCUCACUAUAUCUAAUAAAGACUUUAUUUGCACACAAAAAUUGGAGGAAAAAAUCAACAUAUUCGAGGCAAAAACACUUACGAAGGAAAGUGAAAAAUUGAUUCAGAAAAUUAAACUCUGCAUUUUCUUUUACGUCUCUGAUCUUCUCUGCCCCUACUGCUUUGCUUCUUCUCCAUUGAAGUUUCUGGUUUUCAAUUUUCAUUGGAAGGGGGCUUGGCUUUCAAACGGAUUAAUUUCCUGCUCCGCCGGUUUUACC